This 1012-nucleotide ribosomal RNA is filed under the name uncultured Tulasnellaceae. RNAcentral's name for it is "eukaryotic LSU rRNA". The stretch from base 448 to 1012 matches the Rfam family "Eukaryotic large subunit ribosomal RNA", at positions 1 to 553 of the family's 3401-position model. Lineage: Eukaryota; Fungi; Basidiomycota; Agaricomycetes; Cantharellales; Tulasnellaceae. The record is from RNAcentral.
UACUCUUCAACAGACCAGCGUCCCAGUCUUUCUGGCAUGCUGUUCAAAUUUAUACGCUUCUUGGUUAAAGUCUAAUUAUACAGUUGAUAACAUCACAACUGGUAGCAUUGGAUCCCUUGGCAUGCCAUUCGAUGAAGACCGUAGCAAAUUGCGAUAAGUGGUGUGAUAUGCGAGUCCAAAACUUAUACGUGAACCAUCGAAUUGUUGAACGCAUUGCAUCGAGCUUUGCCCAAGCACGAUAUGCCCCAUUGAGCGUCAUUAUAUCUUUGGAUUUUAAUCCAAGUUCGGGAUUCAUGGUCUUUGACCACGCUUCCUUGGAUGCAUCAGUGCCAGACGGAGUGAUACUCCCUUGUCGUAAACUUCAAGGCGUUCACACCCAUCCUGGCCUGCGGACCAACCUUGGUUGGUCAACAUGAGGGCGUCUUCUAUGGCCACCUCUUCCAAACAUGAUCUCAAGGGGGCAAGACAACCCGCUAGACUUAAGCAUAUUAAUCAGCGGAGGAAAAGAAACUAACAAGGAUUCCCCUAGUAACUGCGAGUGAAGAGGGAACAGCUCAACGUGUGAAUCUGACUUGGUCUAACACCUUGUCCGACUUGUGCACUAUUGACACUGGCUCAGCGUAUAAAUGCUAAAGGCGGAUGUCCGAUGAAACACGGCACCAUAGUGGGUCACAGUCCUAUACAUGCCUAUUGGUGUUUACGCAUAUGACCAGUGCUCAUCGAGUCGUGUAGUUUUGUAUUGCUGCACUAAUUGGGAGGUAGAGCCCUUCUAAAGCUAAAUAUUAUGGCAUGACCGAUAGCAAACAAGUACCGUGAGGGAAAGGUGAAAAGCAACCAUGCAGAAUGGGUUGAAAGAGUAGUGAAAGUGCUACCGGGAUAAGGGCUAGUGAUUGCAAGUGCAGACUGCAUGUGCUUUAGUGCUAUGCAAACUGCCGUCAUGCAUCGAUUGGGUUGGGGAGAACAGGUUGGUGGAGAUUCAGCUCGAUCCAGAGUGUUGUAAUCCAUCAGACAA